Molecule: long non-coding RNA, 850 nt
Organism: Bos taurus (domestic cattle)
Lineage: Eukaryota; Metazoa; Chordata; Mammalia; Artiodactyla; Bovidae
Source: Ensembl
GUUCCCGGCUCCCUCUCCCCUCCUCUCCCCGCCUCCUCUCCUUUUCCCAUCUCUUCUCCGGCUCUCCUUUUUUCUCUCCUCCUGGAGACCCAGUCGGCGCCUCCAGGGUGCAGAACAGAAAACCGAGGCAGCAAGGUCCCACGAGCCAUGUCCGUGUCCCCCGGCCUCCGGUCACUUUCCGUCUUUCCUCCGCCCCCACCCCGAGUCUCUCUCUCGAUCGCUGUCCCCUUGUCCCUCGGUUCGUCCCAACCUCUGUCCCCGGCUCCACCAGUCCUCCCGCACACACGGAGCCGACUCCGCCCUGUCCAGCCACCACGCCCCCUUUGUGCCCACCUGACACUUGCCCCGAGGCGUCCUCAGUCACCGGCGUUGGCUGGCGAUUUCCAGGGCCCUACAGCUCCCUCCCGCCGGGUCUGACCGGGAGCUGGAUCCUGCCAGGCUCGGGUGGGGCUGGAGGUCACCUGAUCUGCCACAUAUGCUGGACAAGAGGCCACAUCUGCGAAUUUCAUCUGGUGGAAAGACAGAGGCUGGAGGAGGUGGAGCUGUUGCCCCAAAGCCAAAAGAGCCAAAGCACGAGGGAUAGAACAGAGCACCGGACACAUCCGUUAUGCUCCUGGGUCAUAAGGAAAUGGGCCCCCUGCCCCUGUGGCGCAGGACAGGUCCCUGCAACACAAGUGCCAGAGGAGGAUCCAGGCAGGUGGACCAGGCCCUGCCUUGCCCCAGCCUGACCUCCCGGCUAUAAACCACAGCCAGCUCUGAGCACUGAUGUCACCUGUGCUGGGACUUCCUGAACCUUCACCUUGGAUCUGCCCAGACCCACAGGGAAAUUCCAAGCCAGGCGGGGACCAGC